CAGUAGCCGCGGUAAAACGGAGGGUGCAAGCGUUACUCGGAAUUACUGGGCGUAAAGCGUGCGUAGGUGGUGGUUUAAGUCCGUUGUGAAAGCCCUGGGCUCAACCUGGGAAUUGCAGUGGAUACUGGGUCACUAGAGUGUGGUAGAGGAUAGUGGAAUUUCCGGUGUAGCAGUGAAAUGCGUAGAGAUCGGAAGGAACAUCUGUGGCGAAGGCGACUAUCUGGGCCAACACUGACACUGAGGCACGAAAGCGUGGGGAGCAAACAGGAUUAGAUACCCCUGUAGUCCCUGUCUCUUAUAC
This 301-nucleotide ribosomal RNA is filed under the name uncultured bacterium. RNAcentral describes it as "partial 16S ribosomal RNA". It matches the Rfam family "Bacterial small subunit ribosomal RNA", at positions 509 to 807 of the family's 1533-position model. The record is from RNAcentral.